RNAcentral lists this ribosomal RNA (505 nucleotides) under uncultured bacterium. RNAcentral's name for it is "partial 16S ribosomal RNA". It matches the Rfam family "Bacterial small subunit ribosomal RNA", at positions 899 to 1397 of the family's 1533-position model. The record is from RNAcentral.
ACUCAAAUGAAUUGACGGGGGCCCGCACAAGCGGUGGAACAUGUGGUUUAAUUCGAUGCAACGCGAAGAACCUUACCUGGGCUUGACAUCUACGGAACCUUGCGGAAACGUGAGGGUGCCUUCGGGAGCCGUAAGACAGGUGGUGCACGGUUGUCGUCAGCUCGUGUCGUGAGAUGUUGGGUUAAGUCCCGCAACGAGCGCAACCCUCGUGGUCUGUUGUUACAGGUCGAAAGAUGCUGAACCCUCAGGCCAGACUGCCGGUGACAAACCGGAGGAAGGUGGGGAUGACGUCAAAUCAUCACGCCCCUUAUGUCCAGGGCUACACACGUGUUACAAUGGGAAGCGACAGUAGGCAGCUUGGCAGCGAUGUCUGGCAAAUCCGGAAAACUUCCCUCAGUUCAGAUCGGAGUCUGCAACUCGACUCCGUGAAGUAGGAAUCGCUAGUAAACGCCGAUCAGCAUUGCGGCGUUGAAUACCGUUCCCGGGCCUUGUACACACCGCCCGU